CUGAUGAGGUGGUUAGCAUAGUUCUUAAUAUAAGUUUUAAUAUACAGCUGAAAAUCUUGAGAGAAUAAAAGAAGAACAUCGAUUUUCCAUGGCAGCUGAGAAUAUUGUAGGAGAUCUUCUAGAAAGAUCAGGAUGACGUACCGUGAAAGCGGUAUUCCUUCGGGCAUCCUGUAAGGUGCUGCAUGGCUGUCGUCAGCUCGUGCCGUGAGGUGUCGGGUUAAGUCCCAUAACGAGCGAAACCCCUAUUGUUAGUUGCCAGCGAGUAAUGUCGGGGACUCUAACAAGACUGCCACCGUAAGGUGUGAGGAAGGUGGGGAUGACGUCAAGUCAGCACGGCCCUUAUGUCCGGGGCUACACACGUGUUACAAUGGUUGGUACAAUGGGCAGCUACACAGUGAUGUGAUGCUAAUCUCAAAAACCAAUCUCAGUUCGGAUUGGAGUCUGCAACUCGACUCCAUGAAGUUGGAUUCGCUAGUAAUCGUAUAUCAGCAAUGAUACGGUGAAUACGUUCCCGGGCCUUGUACACACCGCCCGUCAAGCCAUGGAAGCCGGGGGUACCUGAAGUUCGUAACCGCAAGGAGCGGCCUAAGGU
This 592-nucleotide ribosomal RNA is filed under the name uncultured bacterium. RNAcentral's name for it is "bacterial SSU rRNA". It matches the Rfam family "Bacterial small subunit ribosomal RNA", at positions 951 to 1463 of the family's 1533-position model. The record is from RNAcentral.